This 520-nucleotide ribosomal RNA is filed under the name Aristocypha fenestrella. RNAcentral describes it as "SSU rRNA". It matches the Rfam family "Eukaryotic small subunit ribosomal RNA", at positions 631 to 1126 of the family's 1831-position model. Lineage: Eukaryota; Metazoa; Arthropoda; Insecta; Odonata; Chlorocyphidae. The record is from RNAcentral.
UAGUCGGAGGUGUGUCUCGGACGGUCGGUUCGCCGCUUGCCGGUGUUCAACUGGCCGGUCCGGACGUCCUGCCGGUGGGGCCGCGAGGUCCCGUUAUCCUUCUUUGGUCCUCUUCACCGAGUGCCUUGGUGGGCCGGCACGUUUACUUUGAACAAAUUAGAGUGCUCAAAGCAGGCCGUUGGUCGCCUGAAUACUGUGUGCAUGGAAUAAUGGAAUAGGACCUCGGUUCCAUUUUGUUGGUUUUCAGAACUCGAGGUAAUGAUUAAUAGGGACGGACGGGGGCAUUCGUAUUGCGACGUUAGAGGUGAAAUUCUUGGAUCGUCGCAAGACGAACCGAUGCGAAAGCAUUUGCCAAGAACGUUUUCGUUGAUCAAGAACGAAAGUUAGAGGUUCGAAGGCGAUCAGAUACCGCCCUAGUUCUAACCAUAAACGAUGCCAGCUAGCCAUCCGCCGAAGUUCCUACUAUGACUCGGCGGGCAGCUUCCGGGAAACCAAAGCUCUUGGGUUCCGGGGGAAGUAU